GUCGACAACCAGUCUCCUAUCUUGCUUAAGUUUUGACACGAGGAAAUGUGAAGCUUUUGAAGAGAUAAACAUCUUCCCCUUCCUGGAACAAUUUCCAGUUUGCUGCACUCUGAUAUAUCUAGAUUUCGAAGAAAGGAAAAUCCUUCCAAAUCUGGAAUGGAACUUAAAUUAGCACAGCCACAUAGCUUUAAUUCUAUAGGACAACUGGAGGUCAACAACCCGUCUCCUAUCUUGCUUAAGUUUUGACACGAGGAAAUGUGAAGCUUUUCAAGAGAUGAACAUCUUCCCCUUAUUGGAACAAUUUCCAGUUUGCUGCACUUUGAUAUAUCUAGAUUUCGAAGAAAGGAAAAUCCUUCCAAAUCUGGAAUGGAACUUAAAUUAGCACAGCCACGUAGCUUUAAUUCUUUAAGACAACUGGAGGUCGACAACCCGUCUCCUAUCUUGCUUAAGUUUUGACACGAGGAAAUGUGAAGCUUUUCAAGAGAUGAACAUCUUCCUCUAAUUGGAACAAUUUCCAGUUUGCUGCACUCUGAAAUAUCUAGAUUUCGAAGAAAGGAAAAUCCUUCCAAAUCUGGAAUGGAACUUAAAUUAGGACAAUCACUUAACUUCAAUUCUUCAAGAUUAGUGGAGGUCGACAACCCGUCUCCUAUCUUGCUUAAGUUUUGACACGAGGAAAUGUGAAGCUUUUCAAGAGAUGAACAUCUUCCUCUAAUUGGAACAAUUUCCAGUUUGCUGCACUCUGAAAUAUCUAGAUUUCGAAGAAAGGAAAAUCCUUCCAAAUCUGGAAUGGAACUUAAAUUAGGACAAUCACUUAACUUCAAUUCUUCAAGAUUAGUGGAGGUCGACAACCCAUCUCCAAUCUUGCUUAGUUUUCGACACGAGGAAAUGUGAAGCUUUUGAAGAGAUGAACAUCUUCCUCUUAUUGGAACAAUUUCCAGUUUGCUGCACUCUGAUAUAUCUAGAUUUCGAAGAAAGGAAAAUCCUUCCAAAUCUGGAAUGGAGCUUAAAUUAGCACAGCCACUUAGCUUUAAUUCUUUAAGACAAGUGGAGGUAGACAACCCGCCUCCUAUCUCGCUUAAAUCCUUACACUCUGAAAUGCAAAAUUCUUCAAGAGAUGAACAUAUUCCUGCUAUUGGAACAAUUCCCAAGCGUCCGCAAUCGGAAACAUAGACACUUCGAAGAGCGGAAAACCCAUUCAAAUUUGGAAUUGAGAACAAAUCUCCACACUUUACUAUAGUUAGCUCCUCAAGUACCGUGGAAGUAGCUAGUCCAUCCCCUAUACGGCUUAAUUUUGAACAAUCCUCAACCCAGAGCUUUUUAAGAGAUAAACAUCCUCCCGUCAGGGGAACACUUUCUAAUAAGGGGCAAUCAGAAACAAGCAACUCUUCUAAGCAAGGGAACAUGGUUGCUGCUGUCAUUGCUGUCCAUUCUUCCAAAUUUUUCAUUUGCCGUAGGAUGAAUGUUUUUAAUGCAGGAAACACCUCAAUCUCACAUUGACUACUUCCAUCGCAAUAAAACUCAUUACCGAUGCGUUUCACCUUCCCCAUAUUCCUCAGUGCAAGAAACUUGAGACUCUGCAGUUGGCCCAAUGGUGGAAGACUUUUACAAUUGAUGCAACUGUUUAAUUCCAACUCCAUCAAAUUGUCAAGAAGCAGUGAACCAAUAUUAGAACCAUGAACAGGUCUUGACAUCCAAGAUGGGAGCUUUUCCCCUCCAUAAUUCCAAACAAUUAAGCUUUGCAAACCUGAGUGGGGUUGGAGACCUUCCAGCACUUCCUCACAGGUGUCAUUGCUAAAUUCUGACCAUUCGAAUAUUACCUUGCACAAUUUUGUUUUAAGCCGUAGAUUUGCUUUGCGAGCCUCUUCCUUGUCCCUAACACUCUGCAGAUUGCAUAUCCUCAAUUCUCCACCAAGUUCGUUGAGGCAUUCUAGAGCAUCAAGAUGAAAUUCGAUAUCCCUAACAAAAAACAUUGGCAAUGUUUGGAGAGAAAUUAGGUGUCGAAGCUCAAUUGGUUGAGACCUUUGCUGGUCAUAAUGGAUGUGCUUCAAGCUUAUCAAAUUUCUCAAUCCAUCUGGAAAUGCGAUUUCCCUACAACCCAUGAACCUUAAUGUUUGUAACAUGUAAAGUUUGGUUAUGGAUCGAGGCAGCACUUUGAUAGAAGUCUUCGAGAUGUCCAUAUACCUCAAGUGCUUCAAGUCGCCGAGGGAAGCAGGCAACUCAAGAAUAUAAUCAGCACCGGAAAAUUUUAGGACUCGUAAGCUUGUGAAGGUUCUUGACAAUUUCUUGAACACAUCAAUCUCUGAGAACAAAGAGUGCAAUUUUGGAGCAACAGCUGUUAAAAUUAUUGGUAAGGAUUCCCCAUCAUAACCAAUACUGAGAUGCUGAAUAUGAGAAACUUCAUCUGUGCUGGAACUGGAAUUUUCUUGGAAAAUCAAAGUCUCAAACUUUGAGACAGACAAAGCCAGAUCAUGCACCAUGUCAUGCAUCUUGCAAGUCAAAAUAUUUCCGCACCUGUCCUUCCCCACAUCUUGGAAUAAGGAAUUUGAUAACAAUUCAUGGAAAUAUCUGUUACCAGUAUCCAUCAUUUCUUUAGAAGCGCCAAGAAAUCCUUCAGCCAUCCAGAGUUGGAUUAAUUGCUCCUUUCUAAAGCAAAAAUCUUUAGGAAACAUGGCGCAGUAUGCAAAACACUUCUUUAAACAUGGAGAAGACAAGUGAUCGAAACUUAACCUUAGCACACUAUUAACCGAAUCCCAUACAUCACUUUUUUGAAUUUUCAACCAUGCACCCCGACUCUUUUCAAUUUUGCGCAUUGUACCUCCAAUAACUUUUGCUGCUAAAGGCACACCGUGACAUUGUUUAGCAAUGUCCUCGCCAAUUAACACUAAGCUGGGAGAUAUUGGGGAGUCUCCACGUGCUUUUUCUUGAAUUAUGGACCAGCACUCCUCAUCUUUUAAUUUUCCAGGCUGAUGCCUUUGAUUAGGAAGUGUUUCCACUUUUAAUGCCACAUCUUCAAUGCGGGUUGUUACAAUAACUUUAUUCCCCCGAUUCUUAUUAACCCCUUCCAAACACCACAUUAGUUCAUCCCAUUGUUCAACAUUCCACACAUCAUCAAGUACAAGAAGAUAUUUGAUCUGUUCAUUUCCCCUUUUGGCCUGCUCAAUCUUCCCCUUCAGUUUCGCCGUUAAAGCAUUCAAGUUUUGAGGUAUCGAAGUCCCCUUAAAAUGCUCCAGCAUUUCUCUUAAAAUUCUUUUGACAUUGAAGUCAGCCGAAACACACACCCAAAAUCUUACAUCAAAACGCCUUUCCACAUCCACAUCAUUGUAGACUAGCCUUGCUAAAGUAGUUUUCCCGAUACCCCCAUUGCAACUAUAGGCACAACAGAGACAGUUCGAUCAUCUUGGGGACUGACUAACAUGUCAACAACUUUUGAGACAUCAUUUUUCCUUCCAACAAUGUUUGAGUCAUCCAGGAAGGAGACUGUCUCCACAUUUGAUGGAAUAAAAAUUCUUUGAUCUAUGGCUAAUUGUUGGAGACCGUAGUCUUUGGCUUUUUUGUUAAGGUGGUCCAAGGAAUUAAGGAUGUCCUUAACUCUAUUAGCCAUGUUGUGCCGAAAUAUGACAGUAGAUGGAAGGUCUCGUAGCUUUCUCCACAUCUGAACCCCAACCUCCACUUUCCUUCUGAGAAACUCAUAAGUAAUCUCAUCCAGGACCUCACCAGCCUCAUAAGCAACAUCUCUGAGCCCCUCCAACCAAAGCUUCACUGAAUUCAUUUGCUUUUGCUUUCCCUCUGCAUCUUGCAAGAAAGCUCCAACCAUUUCUAGUGAGUUUUCAAGCCUCUGAAUCUCAUCCUUGAAGCCCCAUCCAAGGCUUAUCAUCUCAACCGCAACUGACGCCGCUUUUGACACCGCUUCUCCCACAACAGCACUAACGAAAGCUUCAGCCAUCUUUGCUUCAAAAAUAAAAAGCUUGAAAUGUUAGGGAAAGCUCUUGACUCUAUAUGAAAGAAGCGAAGAACAUUUGUAAAAAGCAACAGAAAAUGGAAAUGGGUGGAAGAUCAUACCGAGUCAAGGAAACUAAAUGCAGGAGAGAUUUGAUGAUGAAUUGCUUUUGGUAAAUGCAAAUUGUAAAGUCAAUGAGCGUUAAACUACCACCUGCCUGCGCUGACGAGAAUUUCAAGAGACCAAUAAACUAAUAUUAAUAAGUAAUUUUGGAUGGGGUAAAUUACACUAAGGGUCAUUAUACUAUUAUUAAGUUUUCGUUUUAUGCAUUUAAUUUUAAAAAGUUAUAAAAAGACCAUUAGACUAUUUAAAAGUUUUUAUUUAAGUCAUCAAAUUAUGUUGUUUUUAUUAAAAGCUUAGCUAGCAAAUUUCCAAGUGGUGGUCAGAUGAUCGGCAUGAUAAAUCAAUACCUAUCGACAUGUAGAAGAAGAAAACUAUUUGGAUUUUAAUUUGCAGAUUUAUGACACUCAAAAUUAUUUCAAAAAAAUGAAUUAUAGAAAAGGAGAAUGAGAAUUAUUUUUUAUUGGUGUAGCCGGGGCGAACAGAGAACUCUACACAAUAGUAAUAUAACAACUUAAUGACUUAAAUAAUAUUUUAGUGAUCAUUUUGUAACUUUUUAAAAUUGAGUGACUAAAAUGUUAUUUACUAAUAAUUUAGUGAACUUUGUGUAGUUUACCCUAAAAUAGUAUACAAUUAAUUCUAAUAUUAUUUAAUAAAUUUUAUUAUAAUAAAAUAAUGAUAUAAAUGUUUGUAGUUAAAUUGUGCUACUAGUCUUUAUACUUUGUGAAAGUUGUGAAACUUAGUUCAUGUACUUUAAUUUAAUCAAUUUUAGUCUCUUUACUUUUCAAAUUGAUUGGUUUAGUUCCUAUGCUUUUUGCACAAAAAAUAGUAGUUAAAUUCGAUUGGUUAAAUUUAAUUACUAAUUUUAUACUAUGCAUACAGUCAUAAAUUUAGUUCGAUCUCUCCAUUUGAACCAUUUUAAGUCCUAAUACUUUUCAAAAUUUGAAAUUUCAAUACUAAUGAAAAUUACAAUUAUUAAUUUAUUAAUUAAAUUUUUAGUGAGUAAUAUCUAGAAAUAACGAACAACAUAACAUUACAUAUAUAGUAAUAAUUUUGACGAAUCAUAUUUUAAAAAUAGCAAAACUUAAUAUAUUUCAUAGUUAUCAUUUUGGUGAGCACUUAAAUUUUAAAAUUCAAAAAGUAUAUAGACUAAAAGCGGCGAAAUUAAAGUUUAUGGAUUAAAUUUAUAACUUUCAUAAAGUAUAGGGACUAAUAAUGGAAUUUAACUAGUAAUAAUAUAUAUAAAUCAUUUUCGUAUAAGAUUUCAGCUGAAGAAGAGAAGUAAUCUGGUUGUUGGCGUUUUUAAGAAAGCUGGUGUAUUUAAGAAGGUUUGGUGGAAUAGUACUGUUUAAGCCGGUGUAUUUAAGAAGGUUUGGUGGAAUAGUACUGUUUAAGCUGGUGUAUUUAAGAAUGUUAGGUGGAAUAGUACUGUUUUCUGAUGGAUUUGAUGGAUGAUAAUUAUGAAUCAUGUGUUAUUUCCACACGGUUUGUUGUUUUCAAGAGGGGGGUUAUCCGUUGGAAUACAGCUGGGACGCAGAAGUCUCUAAGGCCUACCCGUCGAUUCUUUUGCUGGAUCUUUGUUUUGGGCUGACCUUUUGUUUUGCUUUUGUUUUAUCUGCUUCGGUUUUGAUUUUGGACCAUUCUAUGUUUUGACGUUGGUUUGUUUAUUUUGGUUCUGUUGAGUUUUAUUUUGGGCCUGAUUUGAAUAAAAAUCCAGAGUUUUCUUUAAAAAAAAAUCAAUCCAAAUAAAUAAAUAUUAUACCAAUCGACAAAAAAAUAUUUGUCUUCCUCCCAUCCCCUCUUCUCUUUUCUCUUCUUUCUAUUUUCAAAAUCCUAAAUUUGAUUUGAAGAUUGAAUUUCUACUUUUUAUUUAUAAGAUUUUUAGUUGUCUUAGGCUCUACCUCCGCCUCUGCAUUGCUCUGCUAUAUUUUGAUUUGAGAUCCCGAUCGAAAAUCUUUUGUGAUCUUCAAAGAUGGGAGAAAGAAAAGUACUGAACAAAUGUUACCCGCCGGACUUCGAUCCGUCCAAGCUUCCGAGGGUCCGGCGACCGAAGAAUCAACAGAUGAAGGUUCGUAUGAUGCUUCCGCUGAACAUACGUUGUAAUACCUGCGGAAACUAUAUUUAUAAAGGCACCAAGUUCAAUUCACGCAGAGAAAUGUUAUCGGCGAGGUUUGUUUUGUGCUUUCUUUUUACACUUUAGCUUCGGUUUAUUUGUUUAGUAAUAUUAGGGUUUUUUUUUUCAUUCUAACUUUAAAUUUAAGAAAAAAAAUAGGUAGAAGCAGCAAUAAUUCGAAGUUAUUUUAUGCUCUUGUGAGGUUAUGUUUGGUUAUUAGAAUGUAAUAGUAAUUAAAAUCAUGUUAAUUGGUUGAAAGAUGAGCAAACAAUUAUAAUGCAAUACUAAUUGUAAACUCAUUGUUAUAUAUGAAAUUAAAAUCUUGCAUUUUAUUGUAAAAAGGAACUUUCACAUGCCUUGUACUAUACUCACACUUAGUCCAAAUAACGUGGUUAAAUGCUGUAGUUAGUACACAACUUUCAGGUUUUCACUUCUCUCUAAUUAAUGAUUGAGGUGCAUUUAGUUACUUUUCUCUUAUUUGCAGACAUAUUUGGGAAUCCAAAUAUUUAGGUUUUAUUUCAAAUGCACCAAGUGCUCUGCGGAGAUGACGAUAAAGACUGAUCCACAAAAUUCAGAUUAUGUUGUUGAAUCGGGUGCAACAAGAAAUUUUGAACCUUGGCGUGCUGAAGAUGCGGUGAGAGCUUUGUGUAUCAAGCUAAAUGUAGCUAUAGUUCUUUUAACAUUGCUGGAUAUGUAUAAUAAUAUUCUUUCAUCUUUCCUUUUGUUAGGAAGCGGAGAAAGAGAGAUGGAAAAGGGAAUCUGAAGAAAUGGGGGAUGCGAUGAAAUCUUUGGAGAACAGAACGUUGGAUUCAAAAAGAGAGAUGGAUAUCCUUGCUGCGCUUGAUGAAAUGAAGUCUAUGAAGGUAGCUAAACACUUAAACCAACUUUUGUUUAAUAUGCAGGAGAUAACUGCAACAUUACUGUUAUAAAAAGAAAAUAAAGCUUUAACCUUGUUUUUGAUUAUUGUGGAUGUCAAUGAACCAGGUUUUUGAGUCUUUUAUUUUUAGAAUCUGAAUCUAGGAAGAGCACAUGUUGAGUUUCGAUUGAUAUGACCAAAAUAAUGUCUGUUAACGGGUCUACUGUUAGACAUUUGUCUAUCAAGAUGGGAAUAGGUACAAUUUUCUUUUCUCUGAUGCUAAUGGUAGUCUAUCUUACUAUCUUAUAUUGCAGUCCAGACAUGCUACGGUGAGCGUAGAUUCAAUGCUGGAGGCCUUGCAACGCACUGCCGCAGAAAAGGUAAGAUACUUCUACUUAUUUCUUAAUAGCUUAAGCUGCUUCUUUGAAUAGAAAUCUCACGAUUGUGUUUCGUUUGUAUUCUAUUUGAAAAUUUCCAGUUUCUUCUAAAUCAAAGGUGCAUCUUUGGUUGCAAUUGCGAAUCCUGAAUGGAAUUUAUGGUUUCGCUGAGAACACUUUUAUGCUGCAUUUCUUUAAUUAUACAUAAUCCUAGGAAAUAGGGGAAAAAGUUGAAUUUGCUUUCUAUGGAUAAAUCUUUCCCCUGAAAUAUGCCAACUUAAUUUUAUCAUAUCAGGUAAUUUCUCUUAAAUCUGAACUCUGAUAUUAGAAUAUUUAUGAAUGCUUGCAUUAUUUACCUUAAUACUUGAUGUGAGAGGGAGAUGAGUACAAAUACAUACAAGUGUGGAUUGAAGUGAUAAGUAGUAAUCACGUCGCUUAGCAUGCUUAUAUUUCUUCUCUUUUGUGAUUCUGACUACAAAGUUAUAAUGGUAACAGGAAAAGAAAAUAGAAGAAGAAGAUGAAGCCCUCAUUAAAUCGAUUUUCCAGGUUAGAAUCGGUGUAUUGCUUUUAGUAUCACCAGUUGUGAUUGCUCCCUGUUCUAGGCGGGCAUGUUUCUAACAUUGGUGUCAUCUUUAAUGCAGAAGCCAAAGGAAUUUGUUCGAAGGAUUUCAGAUGAUGUUUGCAACGAUGAUGAGGAUCUGACCCGUUUAUUGAGUGGCAAUGGUGAAACCUCAAAUGAUGGCUUAAAGAUCUGACCCGUUUAUUGAUGGCUUAUGAAUUUUUUCCCGGGCCGGGCCUGGGCAAAAUUCUAGGCCCAUAUUUCGGGCCGGGCCCGGGCCCAGGCCUAGGACCCGGGCUGAAUUUUUUUCUGGACCCAGCCCGGCUCGGCCCAUGAACACCUCUAGUCCCGACAGAAUCAAUACGAAGUAACAAAAAAAAGUAGAUCAGAUUUUGCUUUUAUCUUCUUUUUCUUUCUUUUUUUCUCUUCGAGGCUAUGUAUAUAUACAUGUAAAGAUUUUUGUUUUUAUUUUCUCAUUAGUAUAUUCAUUAUUGUCAUUUUAUUGUCGCGUUCAUUCGUAUAUCAUCAUUUUGUACCGUCAUUCAUCAACAUAAUAUUUUAUAUCAUUAAUUUUUAUCCGAACAUAUAAAUAAAAUUUUCAAAAAUAGGCAAGGUUCUGUAUUUGAAAGAUUCAGUAAAAUCGCAUCUUAAUUUACGGGUUUCGAUUUUUCUCGUUGAAUUCAAAUAAUUAAAUAUCCUUUCAAAAAUUAAAAUAUGUAAGAAUCAAAGGCCAAAUUAUUCUCAAGGAUUUGAAAUGUCAUGUCUUAACUUACGGGACGUGUCGUUUUAUAGCCUCGAGAUAAGAAAGUCUUCAAUAUAUUUUCGAGUUAUUUAAGCAUUCCAAAAAAAAAUAUACAUUAAUGUAAAAAACGAUCGUAUUUUAAAUUCUUUCCGAAUUUUUAACUUUCUACAUAAAGACAUCAAAUAAUCAAUUGGGUACCAAUUUUGGGUGUUACGAGGGUGUUAAUCAUUCCAUUGCGUAACCCACUACUGAACCUAUUUUUUGGAUUUCGUAGACCAAAAAAUCGUCGUUUUAGUAAUUUUAAAUUUUUAUUCAAAUGAUUGAAUUACGAGGUGACCCGAUCAUAAAAAUUAUAAAAAAUAAUUUUAUUUUAUAUAAAAUUAGUAAAUAAUUAUUAUUUGAUAUAAUAUAACCUAAACAUUAUUAUUAAUAAAAAUAAAUUAUAAAAUAAUUAAAAACUCUUAAAUAAAAAACAAAUAUAUAAAUCUUAAAAUAAUGUUCUGACUUAAAGAAGAAAAUAUAGCUUUGUAAUCAUAGUUGUCCUAUGGACACUUAGAAUCUAAUGGCAUGACACGUGUAAAGCCAAUUUGCUGUUUGCCAUUUGGUAUCAUGGUUUUCAAAAUUGAAUUAAUAGAAUCGAUUGCCUUGAUUUAACAUAUAUAAAAAAUAUGAUUUUGAAAAGAUUUUUUAAUUGUAAAGGAAAAGAAUCAUAAAAAUAUUCUAAGAUUUUUUUUCAAAAUUGAUUUUUUAAUUUAUAAAAAAAUUAAUCUAAAUAUAGAAAGCUUGUAAAGGAAAAGAAUCACAAACGAAUUUCAAAAGUCAAAAUUUUAAAAGGUUUGAAUAUCUUUAAAUAAUUAAAAAUCAUAAUUUAAAAUAUUAUGAAACAAAUUAAAAAAAUAUUUAAAAUAUUAUAAAACUAAUAAUAAAAGUGAAAGGUCAUAUCUUUAAAAUAUUUAAAUGAUUUAUAUUAUUAAAAAUAUAUUUAAUAUUUAAAAAAUAAUAUUUAAAAUUUUAAAAAAGUGCUUUAUUUUUAUAAUUAGUUAUUUAAUUUUUAUUAAUUAUAAAGUCAGCUUUUGCUUUUAAAUUUACUUAUAAAGACGGUAUUAUAUACCAAAUUUUGGGAUCAACGAAAACAAAAUCAAUUGAGAUAGACAUCUUAGAAAAAUAAAAUAAUAAAUAAUAUAAAUUUAAAGAAAUAGAAAAUUUUAGAGUUCAAAAACUAUAAAAAAAUAAUUUUAUUUGAUAUAAAAUUAGUAAAUAAUUAUUAUUUGAUAUAAUAUAACCUAAACAUUAUUAUUAAUAAUAAAUAAAUUAUAAAAAAAUUAAAAACUCGUAAAUAAAAAAACAAAUAUAUAAAUCAUGGUUUGCAAUCAUUAUUAUUAAUGUUCUGACUUAAAUAAAAAAAUAUAGCUUUGCAAUCAUGGUUGUCUUAUGAACACUUAAAAUCUUAAUGACAUGAUACGUGUAAAGUCAAUUUAUUGUUUGCCAUUUGGUAUAAUGAUUUUUAAAAUUGAAUUAAUAGAAUCGAUUGCUUGAUUUAACAUAUAUAAAAAUAUGAUUUUGAAAAGAUUUUUUAAUUGUCAAGGAAAAGAAUCAUAAAAAUAUUCAAAGAUUUUUUUCAAAAAUGAGUUUUUAAUUUAUAAAAAAAAUUAAUCUAAAUAUAGAAAGCUUGUAAAGGAAAAGAAUCAUAAUAUAAAAUAUUAUGAAACAAAUUAAAAAUAUUAAAAAUAUUAUAAAACUAAUAAUAAAAUAUUUAGAUGUUUUAUAUUAUUAAAAAAAUAUUUAAUAUUUAAAAAAUAAUAUUUAAAAUUGAAAAAAUAAUUUCAAAAAUAUAUAUUUAAAAUUUUAAAAAAUAUAUAUUAUAAAAAAUUUCAAAUAUACAUUUUAAAUUUUUUAAAAUUAAUAAUAAAAAAUAAAAUAAAAAAAUAAUAAUAAAGACAAAACUUAAAAAAAGUAUUAAAAAAAAGGACAAAACUUUAAAAAAAAAAGUAAAAGGGUGUCAGGCGAAUCUGGUGGCGCCAAAUGAAAGGGCUCCACCAGAAAAUAGAAAUUUUAAUUUAAAGUCCUCCAUAUUUUUAGAAAUUGCAGUAUCUUCUUAGUAUUUAUACAAGUGGCGCCAUUCUACAUGGCUCCAUCAAAAAAUUAAUUUUUUUCUUGGUUGCUGACGUGGCAUAUUGGCGGAGCCAAAUUGACUCCACCAACUUUUACGAUAGAUUUUAGGUCAUUUUUGUGUUUAACUAAAAAAAUGGAUUAUUUUGAUAAUUAAUUAAAUUUUUUAGGCUAUUUUUAUAAAAAAAGCCCAAACACUCCUAUACUCAUGUUCAGUUUUAGUUUCAAAAAGGAAUAGGCUUGUUCGAGAAUAUACCAUUGGGUAGUCAGUUUGACCUACGUCAAUGCGAAGUUCCACAUGAUAUCAAUUUAUGUUUGCAGAAGUGGGACUUGCUGUAUUUUUCCCUUUUUUUCACCUCAAUUGUUGAAAAUAGAAUCGCCAUUAUUGAAUCCCUUAACUCAAGCUUUGGUGUGCAUGGUGUGCAGAGGAGAAAGGUGUCAGAAGAACCCUACAGAUGCUUUGACAAAAGCUAGUUUGCCGGAUGAUUCUAGCAGUAAAGGUAUUUGCAGUAUUCAUCACCAAUUCAUUUUUUUCAUAUAUAAAAAAGAACGGUUCAACUAGUCUGCAUUAAUUCUCAAUCUAUUUGGUACAAAACCAUUAUCUGGAACUAUUCAAAUAUCAUUGCAAUUUAUUAAAACAACACAUUACUAAAAUACUUGAGCACCAAGGCUUCACUGUCUCAUCAGUGCUUUCUGUCAAUCUUGCUAUCCUCCUAACGCUUGUUAUCACACCAUCUCUGUUGUUGACUGUAAGUUAAUUACUGAUUUUCAAUCCAAAUAUUUGCAAAAUUUAUCAUAGUAAUAAGUACCCUGAAAAGAUUCAAAGAUCCUUGAAAUAAAAUUUUGGAAAUGAUUGACUGACUAAUGCUUAGAACUUUUUUGAAUUAGUAUAUAUUGAUUUUGUAUUACGAAUAUGAUAAUGAAUGUAUUUGUUCGUUAACAGAAGGUCCAAGUGGUUCAAGGAGUCGUCCAUUCAAGUUACCGGUGAUAAUCUCGAUUGUGAAGAAGAAACCAGAGAAGAAAGAAGAAAAGUUACUAAUGAUACAGAGUAUUGGUCUCCUAUCCUUGUGCCAACUGCCAAGUACCAAUACUCUUUAUAUUUUUUUACCAUGUACCAAACACGCAAGAAUAUUGUCUAAAAUAAAGUAUCACUAUUCAUCAUCACUUUCAUUGUAGUUUUGGCGCCGUGAUAAUCUCGUUGUGAUGAAGAAGAAACCAGAGAAGAAAGAAGAAAAAGUUGAUGAUGAUACAAGCACUGGUCUCCUAUCUUUGUGCCAAAACUACGAUGAAAGUGAUAAUAAGUAGUGGUACUUUAUUCUGGUGAAUAUCCUUGUAUUGUCUUGUUUUAAUGUUUGUAUAGAUUGUUAAAUUGAUGUUUUUUUUAGUUAAAUUUAACCAUUAAUCUUAAAAAAAAAAGUUGAAUCAUCACUUUUAUUAGAAAUGCCAACUAAAAUACUAUUUUUUGAUGAUGUUGACGCGAUAAUUAAUGUGAUAGUUAAUGUAUAUUUCAUAUUGAUACGGUACUAUUUAUUAUAUAUAUACUAUAUUGACAAAUAAUUUACAAAUAAUAAAAAAUCAAGAUUAUAAAAAUUAUGAAGAGCAUAAAAAAAAAAAAGAGCUUGAAGUAAGUGUAGAUUGUCAUGCAAAUUGUUAUGUUUAAAAAUCGUAAUGUUUUAGUCAAUAUUUCUGUUAUAAACAAUAAGUCUGACUUUUUUUUUGAAAAAUUGGUGGUGAAAUGUACCUCUUUCUAAAAUGUUGAGGGCUAAAUUUAGCUAAAAGUAAGUCAUAUUGAUUAAAAAUGUAAAUAUUAAGUGCUAAAUUUAUCAUUAAGCAAAAAUAAAAGGUCAAUUUAUGUAUUAGUUGUUUGCUUACUUUUCAAAUAUUGAAAUUUCAAUCCUAAUUUAAAUAGUAACAAUUAAAUUUACUUGGUUGAGUUUUAUCAUUAAACUUGCAUUACGCGUAAAGUAGUAAAUUUAAUUCAUAUUUUUCAUUUGUAUUUUUAAUUUUUUUACUUUUCAAUUUUUCGAAAAUUUAAUCUUGGUGUAAACAAGAUCUAUUAAAUUUAUUAAUUAUUAUUUUUGAGUAAUAAAUGAAAAUAAUAAGUUGACAUAUCAUUUCAUGUGUAAUAAUACGGAAAUUUUAUAACUCAAAAGAUAUAGCAAUUAAAAUGGACCCAACUAAAGUAUAAAAAUAAAAAUCUAUAAUUUACGGAUAAUAUAAUGACUAAUAGCACAAUUUAAACCAAAUAAAAACAAGUUAAAUACAUCAUGACGAUGUAUCACUGGAUAAGACUCAUAAAAGUUACUGCAUACGACCACAGAGAAUCUUUAAUUCAUUACUGGUCACUGUUCAAACAUUUCUCCGGCAUUUUCGAGAAAGAAUUCAGUCUUAAAAAUGCUAAAGAAGUUCGGAAAUUUCCUACGACUGCGGAGCCUUAUUCAGCGGCAACUCACUCAGCAAGUUACAGCUUCAGUCCUAUACUUCUAACUAAAUAACUUUCCCUCUAAAUCUUUUCCCCUUCAAAGCUUAGAUCCAAGCUGAUGAACACAAUUCAGUUUACUUACAGUUUUGCACUAAAAAAAGUAGUUCCUGACUUAACAAAUAAAAUGCUCUCCAAUUUCUACAAUUAACCUACACUAGUCGUUCACUAUAUAUGCAUAGAAGGGGCGUUCAAGUACAAUCAAUGACAUUCACAAAUCCCACUAAAAACAUCUUACUGUCAUCAAAUUCCUUGAAGAUCAAAUCUUCUAUUUAAGAGAACUUUGAUUCUCGCAUGUAAAGUCUGCACUGAAGUAUCACCGUUGAAGCUGACAAUUAUAAUCGGCACUAACAAGUUUAAAUACAGGGCAGCCAACUUUUUUUUUCUGAUGAUUUUGGAUUAUGACAUGGAAGCUCAAAUCUUCAACUUAGCUAGAUACACAGAUGCGAGCUCCUUUUCCUGCUAAAAUCCAAACACAGUAUUUAUGAUAAACGAAGUUACUAUUUUUAAUUCCAAGGCAAUCCAAUUGGUGAACUCAAUAAGUUUUAGCUCCUAGAAAUUCUACGAGGGAAAAGUACCUUUGUGAAUAGCUUUUCCAAUCAAAUCUGGUGCUGGUCCUCUCCGAUCAUGGCUAAGGCCUUCUAGCUUACUACCCCUUCAGAUAAAGCAAAAUCAUAUAUCUUUACAUGAAGAAAAAAAAUUUACCCUUGGAUUUGAAUUUUAGUUGUUUUAUCACUGACCUAUGUGAAGCAGGUCCAGAUAAAGGCAUAGGUUAAGAAAGAGAAUGGUGGUAAAGUGGCAAGAUGCUGCAAUGAACAACCAUACAAUAUGUUGUCAAGGACAGGUGAUUUGGUAGCCAAGGUUAGUUCCAUAAAGGGUGGCAAUUGUAAGUGCUUCCGUCAGGAGCAAAACAAGAAUGGCUUUCAGGAACAGAACUAAAUUCUGGUCGGAUAUCACAAGAAACCUUACUCACAAUCCUUGAUGCUUCAGACAAGUAGGGAAAACACUUGGGUGAUGUUGCAUGACUGAAGACAACAAGGCAAAAGAAGUGGUCAAAAUGCAUAAACAAUGAUAAUUACCUAGUGAGUUGAUAUAUAAAAAUUUUUCGUAAGCAGUCUUCCUGUUUAGUUGACUUACUAUAAUAGUUGAUGCCUUCUGGAAAAAUGCAGCUUUUACCUGGCCGAUUUGUCAGAAACAUUUUAUGUACAGAAAAACGAAAUCUGUACAAGUAGUCACAGCUGACUUGGACCUUUUCUGUGACUGCAAUCAAACACUGCUCAAUAGUAUCAAGUAGUCACACCAUUCAUGUAUGGUGGAUGAACUUUUCCAAUACCCCAUAUAUGGUGCUGGGCCUCUCUGGUCUUGGCUGGGGCCUUUUAGCUCACUAGCUCAUCUGAUAAAGCAAUAUCAUAAAUCUUUACAUAGAGAAAUAAAAGUUUAAAUCCUCAGAUUAAAAUUUACGUUGGUCAUCACUCAUCACUGGCCUAUCUGAAGCAUGCCUGGAUCUCUCGUAUCGAAGAUUCUUGCAAGAGACUUCCUCUAUGAUCUUAAGUAACACCACUUCUCUGCAGGGAGACACUUUGCCUGCCAAUAUGCAAAAGGCUAGGCUAAGAAAGAGAAUGGUGGUAAAGCAGCAAGAUAUGAUGAACAAGCAUAUGAUAUGUUUGUCAUGGACAACUUACUUGGAGAAACAUGUAACAAGGUUAGUACCAUAACGGGUGGCUAUCCUAAGUGCUUCCAUCAGGAGCUAAACAAUAAUGGGACUCAGGAACAAAGCUAAAUUCCAGUUGGAUCUCAUAAGAACCCUUAUUCAUAAUCCUUGAUGCUUCAGACAAGUAGGAGAUAUAUUUAGCAAAUGUUGCAUGACCAAAGACACUACAAACAAGUUAAAAUAAGUGAUCAAAAUGCAUAAACAAUGAUCAUUACCUAGUGAGUUGAGUUUUGAAAACAUUUCUUAAGCAGUAUUCUUGUUUAAUUGACCUACUAUAAUAGUUGAUGCCUUCUGGAAAACAGAAAGAGAACGGAGGUAAAGCGGAAGAUAGGCUGGCUGCAAUGAACAAGUACGUCAUAUGUUGUCAAGAACUGCUGAUUUGGGUAAAAAUGGAACAUGGAUGGUAGUACCAUAACUUCCAUUGGAAGCAAGCUAAGAAUGGGCUUCCAGAAGACAAGAACGAUGAUGAAUACCUCACAGAUGUGACUAGAGCUUUAUACGUAGUAAUCCUUAAUGCUUCAGAUAAGUUGCUAAACCAAAGACUUCAUAAGCAAGGUAAAACAAGUGGUCAAAACACAAAGAAUGUUAAAUUAUAUAGUUUGUUAAAUUUUGAAAAUAAAUUUUUAAGUAGUCUUCAUCAAAGCAAAAUUAAAAGUUAAUAAAUUGCACAAGUGUCAUCAAUUACAUGGAAAAGUAAUGGUGACCAGGACUUACUUUUCGAUGGAUAAAUUUAGUUUCUACGUUCUCUCUUUGACUGAUGAGUCUUUAAGCUGUACAAGCUAAUUAGUGAAUCCUGCAAAAUUAAGCCAAAAAAUCUGUCAUAUGGAUUAACCAACCAAAUUUGUGAACAAAUAACCUUUUUUUUUGAAAAAAGAAUAAAUAAAUAAGCCAACCAAGUUGAACGGAAAUAUAUUGUCUAAUUGGAGAAAUCCACUAUAUACUUAGAGAACUGCCAAAAUGAUUAUAUAUACAAAGGGACUUCUCAUAUCCAUGAAAUGUUUAUCAAAACAAAAUUAAAAGGUUGUCUACUAAAAUGCAAAGAUAAUCACAGGAAGAAUGAACUGAUGUAAAUUGCAUUGAAAAGAAAUGGGGAUAAAAAAGAGCUUACUUUUCUAUCUCUAUAUUUACAUCCAAGACAAUAAGUCUAUGAAUCCUUCAUAUCCAUACAAAUCCUGUAAAGGUCUGGCGAAAAUGCCGAAAAAAAAUGAAAGUUUAGGAGGAAAAGAACAAGAAGAAUUUAGAGAGAAAUGACAUUCUUUUAUCAAAAGCAAAAAGUACAGGCGUUUUGGUUUCAGAUAUUGAACUUACCGCUUGCUCAUAAUUGAGAUCCUACGAAUGUGGGAAAUCUUGGACCACUCAGGGCCGCUUUCCUUGGAACAUCUUGCCUCUAAUCGAGGACACGCUGAAAUUAUAAAUGAUGUUAAUUUGGAGAGGCUUCGGAUAACAUGUUCAGAAGGCAGAUACAUGAGCUUAUCACAUGAAACAAUUCUCAAACGCUUUACAGAGGAGAGGUUUCCCAACCAAUCAGGCAAGGCUUCUAUGCCGUGAAACCUCUGUAUCUCUAGUCCUUCAAGGGCAGUGAGGUGUCGGAGUUGGUAAGGAAGAGAACUUAGCUUUUCCCAUCCAAGCAAUCGCAACUCUUUAAGGGAGGCACUGAGGUGUUGGAUGGAAUCAAAACCUGGGAAUUCUUCUAGCUCUUCUGAGAAACCACCAAUAUCUAAACUUCUCAAGCAAGUAAGGCUGCCAAGGCGGUCAUUUGGAAUGCUCCUCAAUGUUGGACACCUUUUGGUUGUUAAACGAACAAGAGAAUGCAAUUCCCACACACUUUCUGGAAUCGAUCUUAGAUCAGGCAAAUCAGCUAGUGUCAGCUUGCGAAGGCAAGUGUUGGAUUGCAGCAAAUCUGGUAAUAGACAAGUUAAGCCUUGGCCUACACCAGUGAAACCUAAUUCAGUGAGACGACCAUGACAUAUACUUGGAAUGGACCUCAAAUUCGGGCAAGUCUCUAUCCUCAAUUUUUUGAGACAAGUGAAGUUAGACAGUCCAUUUCCUAUGUAGCUUAAUUUUUCACAUGCAAGAAUGUCAAGAACUUCAAGAGAUGAGCACCUUUCUGUUAUUGGAACAAUUUCCAGUUUGUUGCACCCAGAUAUACAUAAACUCUGAAGAGACGAAAAUCCUUUCAAAUCUGGAAUGGAACUUAAAUUAGGGCAAAGCCUUAUCCUCAAUUCUUUGACAAAAGAGGAAAUAGAAAACCCGUCUCCUACCUUGCUUAGUUUUUCACACUGAAAAAUGUGAAGCUUUUCAAGAAAAGGAAGUCUUCCUGUUGGAAUAACUUCCAGGUUGUCACAUUUAGAUAUAUCUAAAGUUCGAAGAGAUUCCAAAUCUGGAAUGGAAUUUAAGUUACCACAAUGGGAUAGCUUUAACUCUUUGAGACAAGUGGCAAUAGGCAACCAAUCUUCUAUCUUGCUUUGACACCCGGAAAUGAGAAGCUUUUCAAGAGAUGAACAUUGUCCUCUUAUCGGAACAAUUUCCAGUUCGUUGCAGUUUGAUAAAUCUAAAAUUUUAAGAGAGGAAAAUCCUUCCAAAUCUAGAAUGGAACAUAAAUUAGGACAAUCGCUUAACUUUAAUUCUUUAAGAUAAGUGGAGGUAGACAACCCAUCUCCUAUCUUGCUUAAGUUUUGACACGAGGAAAUGUGAAACUUUUGAAGAGAUGAACAUCUUCCUCUUAUUGGAACAAUUUCCAGUUUGCUGCACUCUGAUAUAUCUAGAUUUCGAAGAACGGAAAAUCCUUCCAAAUCUGGAAUGGAACUUAAUUUAGCACAGCCACUUAGCUUUAAUUCUAUAAGAUAAGCGGAAGUCGACAACCAGUCUCCUAUCUUGCUUAAGUUUUGACACGAGGAAAUGUGAAGCUUUUGAAGAGAUGAACAUCUUCCUCUUAUUGGAACAAUUUCCAGUUUGCUACACUCUGAUAUAUCUAGAUUUCGAAGAACGGAAAAUCCUUCCAAAUCUGGAAUGGAACUUAAAUUAGCACAGCCACUUAGCUUUAAUUCUAUAAGAUAAGUGGAAGUCGACAACCAGUCUCCUAUCUUGCUAAAGUUUUGACACGAGGAAAUGUGAAGCUUUUGAAGAGAUGAACAUCUUCCCCUUAUUGGAACAAUUUCCAGUUUGUUGCACUCUGAUAUAUCUAGAUUUCGAAGAAAGGAAAAUCCUUCCAAAUCUGGAAUGGAACUUAAAUUAGCACAGCCACUUAGCUUUAAUUCUUUAAGACAACUGGAGGUAGACAACCCAUCUCCUAUCUUGCUUAAGUUUUGACACGAGGAAAUGUGAAGCUUUUCAAGAGAUGAACAUCUUCCUCUUAUUGGAACAAUUUCCAGUUUGCUGCACUCUGAUAUAUCUAGAUUUCGAAGAAAGGAAAAUCCUUCCAAAUCUGGAAUGGAGCUUAAAUUAGCACAGCCACUUAGCUUUAAUUCUUUAAGACAAGUGGAGGUAGACAACCCGCCUCCUAUCUCGCUUAAUUCCUUACACUCUGAAAUGCAAAAUUCUUCAAGAGAUGAACAUAUUCCUGCUAUUGGAACAAUUCCCAAGCGUCCGCAAUCAGAAACAUAGACACUUCGAAGAGCGGAAAACCCAUUUAAAUUUGGAAUUGAGAACAAAUCUCCACACUUUACUAUAGUUAGCUCCUCAAGUACCGUGGAAGUAGCUAGUCCAUCCCCUAUACUGCUUAAUCGUGAACAAUCCUCAAUACAGAGCUUUUUAAGAGAUAAACAUUGUCCCGUCAGGGGAACACUUUCCAAUAAGGGGCAGUUAGAAACAAGCAACUCUUCUAAGCAAGGAAACAUGACUGCUGCUGUCGUUGCUGUCCAUUCUUUCAGAUUUUCCAGUCGCCGUAGGAUGAAUGUUUUUAAUGCAGGAAACACCUCAAUCUCAAAUUGACUACUUCCAUCGCAAUAAAACUCAUUACCGAUGCGUUUCAGCUCCUCCAUAUUCCUCAGUGCAAGAAACUUGAGACUGUGCAGUUGGCCCAAUGGUGGAAGACUUUUACAAUUGAUGCAAUUGUUUAAUUCCAACGCCAUCAAAUUGUCAAGAAGCAGUGAACCAAUAUUAGAACCAUGAACAGGUCUUGACAUCCAAGAUGGGAGCUUUUCUCCUCCAUAAUUCCAAACAAUUAAGCUUUGCAAACCUGAGGGGGGUUGGAGACCUUCCAGCACUUCCUCACAGUUAUCAUUGCUAAAAUUUGACCAUUCAAAUAUUACCUUGCACAAUUUUGUUUUAAGCCGUAGAUUUGCUUUGCGGGCCUCUUCCUUGUCUCUAACACUCUGCAGAUCGCAUAUCUUCAAUUGUCCACCAAGUUCGUUGAGGCAUUCUAGAGCAUCAAGAUGAAGUUCGUUACCCCUAACAAAAAACAUUGGCAAUGUUUGGAGAGAAAUUAGGUGUCGAAGCUCAAUUGGUUGAGAACUUUGCUGGUCAAAAUGGAUGUGCUUCACGCUUAUCAAAUUUCUCAAUCCAUCUGGAAAUGCGAUUUCCCUACAACCCAUGAACCUUAAUGUUUGUAACAUGUAAAGUUUGGUUAUGGAUUGAGGCAGCACUUUGAUAGAAGUCUUCGAGAUGUCCAUAUACCUCAAGUGCUUCAAUUCGCCGAGGGAAGCAGGCAACUCAUGAAUAUAAUCAGCACUGGAAAAUUUUAGGACUCGUAAGCUUGUGAAGGUUCUUGACAAUUUCUUGAACACAUCAAUCUCUGAGAACAAAGAGUGCAAUUUUGGAGCAACAGCUGUUAAAAUUAUUGGUAAGGAUUCCCCAUCAUAACCAAUACUGAGAUGCCGAAUAUGAGAAACCUCAUCUGUGCUGGAACUGGAAUUUUCUUGGAAAAUCAAAGUCUCAAACUUUGAGACAGACAAAGCCAGAUCAUGCACCAAGUCAUGCAUCUUGCAAGUCAAAAUAUUUCCGCACCUGUCCUUCCCCACAUCUUGGAAUAAGGAAUUUGAUAACAAUUCAUGGAAAUAUCUGUUACCAGUAUCCAUAAUUUCUUUAGAAGCGCCAAGAAAUCCUUCAGCCAUCCAGAGCUGGAUUAAUUGCUCCUUUCUAAAGCAAAAAUCUUUAGGAAACAUGGCGCAGUAUGCAAAACACUUCUUUAAACAUGGAGAAGACAAGUGAUCGAAACUUAACCUUAGCACACUAUUAACCGAAUCCCAUACAUCACUUUUUUGAAUUUUCAACCAUGCAGCCCGACUCCUUUCAAUUUUGCGCAUUGUACCUCCAAUAACUUUUGCUGCUAAAGGCACACCGUGACAUUGUUUAGCAAUUUCCUCGCCAAUUAACACUAAGCUGGGAGAUAUUGGGGAGUCUCCACAUGCUUUUUCUUUAAUUAUGGACCAGCACUCCUCAUCUUUUAAUUUUCCAGGCUGAUGCCUUUGAUUAGGAAGUGUUUCCACUUUUAAUGCCACAUCUUCAAUGCGGGUUGUUACAAUAACUUUAUUCCCCCGAUUCUUAUUAACCCCUUCCAAACACCACAUUAGUUCAUCCCAUUGUUCAACAUUCCACACAUCAUCAAGUACAAGAAGAUAUUUGAUCUGUUCAUUUCCCCUUUUGGCCCGCUCAAUCUUCCCCUUCAGUUUCGCCGUUAAAGCAUUCAAGUUUUGAGGUAUCGAGGUCUGCUGAUAAUUCAUAUCAUGCUCAAGCAUUUCUCCCAAAAUUCUUUUGACAUUGAAAUCAUCCGAAACACACACCCAAAAUCUUACAUCAAAACGCCUUUCCACAUCCACAUCAUGGUAAACUAGCCUUGCUAAAGUAGUUUUCCCGAUACCCGCCAUUCCAACUAUAGGCACAACAGAGACAGUUCGAUCAUCUUGGGGACUGAGUAACAUGUCAACAACUUUUGAGACAUCAUUUUUCCUUCCAACAAUGUUUGAGUCAUCUAGGAAGGAGACUGUCUCCACAUUUGAUGGAAUAAAAAUUCUUUGAUCUAUGGCUAAUUGUUGGAGACCAUAGUCUUUGGCUAUUUUGUUAAGGUCGUCCAAGGAAUUAAGGAUGUCCUUAACUUUAUUAGCCAUGUUGUGCUGAAAUGUGACAGUAGAUGGAGUGUCUCGAAGCUUUCUCCACAUCUGAUCCCCAAUCUCCACUUUCCUUCUGAGAAACUCAUAAGCAAUCUCAUCCAGGACCUCAUCAGCCUCAUAAGCAACAUCUCUGAGCCUCUUCAACCAAAGCUUCACUGAGUUCAUUUGCUUUUGGUUUCCCUCUGCAUCUCGCAAGAAAGCUCCAAUCAUUUCUAGUGAGUUACCAAGCCUCUGCAUCUCAUCCUUGAAGCCCCAUCCAAGGCUUAUCAUCUCAACCGCAACUGACGCCGCUUUUGACGCCACUUCUCCCACAACAGCACUAACGAAAGCUUCAGCCAUCUUCGCUUCAAAAAUAAAAAGCUUGAAAUGUUAGGGAAAGCUCUUAACUCUAUAUCAAAGAGGCGAAGAACAUUUGUAAAUGAAAACGAAAUUAAAGCAACAGAUAAUUGAAAUUGGUGAAAGAUCAUACCGGGUUAAGGAAACGGAAUGCAGAAGAGAACUGAAGAUGAAUUGCUUUUGGUAAUUUCAAACUGAAAGGUCCCCUCUUUGAUGAAAAAAAGCAAAAACAAAUCAAUAAGCUUAGCACCCAAAGUCAAAAGUAAAGCAAAAUAAAGCCAUCAGCUGCCCCUUCUGACGAGAAUUACGAAAUACACGGCGUGAUUAGGUGACCGACAUGCUUCUAUUAUUGCUCGGCUUUUUACCCAAUUAAUAUAAAAUAAUGGAUCAAUUUAUUCAAAUAACUAUUUGAUACAUUUACUCGACCAACCAGCGGCACCUCCUCCACUUUUCCCUAUUAUUAAUCAUGUUUGGUUAGCAAACACAUCCUAUACUCAUGAUCAAAACUUUUUUUUAGUGCGUAAUGUUUUAAGUAAAUUAUCUACAUUUAAUGCAAUUUUUAUUUAACUUACCCAAUCGAUUACCGACUGUUAGUAAUAGUUUCAUGUAGUAUUGAAGAUAGAACAAGAUUUUCUAAGGUGGGUAAAGGGUUAACAAUAUUGCAUAGACGAAGAGGGUUAAGUGUCAGACUUGUUUAAUGUUUUACUAUAUGUGAAGGUUCAAGAUCCAAAAUACGAUGUUUAUUUUAAGUUGUUGAAAUCAGCAAUUAUAAGAACAAUUGAGAGUCGAUUUAAUAUGGAGGAAACCAUAUGGAGGAAAUCAAGCUGUCCGAAUGAAUUAUUAUCUCAUGAAAAGAUGGAUGUGCUUGAACUUUCAGUUUUAGUUUUAAAAUGGAAUAGGCUUGUUCGAGAAUAUACCAUUGGGUAGUCAGUUUGACCUGCAUCAAUGCGAAGUUCCACAUGAUAUCAAUUUAUGUUUGUAGAAGUGGGACUUGCUGUAUUUUUCCUUUUUUUCACCUCAAUUGUUGAAAAUAAAAUCGCCAUUAUUGAAUCCCUCAACUCAUGCUUUGGUGUAACCCUACAGAUGUUUUGGCAAAAGCUAGUUUGCCUGAUGAUUCCAACAGUAAAGGUAUUUACAGUAUUCAUCACCAAUUCAUUUUUUUCGUAUAUCCGCAUUAAUUCUCAAUCUAAUUGAUUCAAAGACUUCAAAGCCAUUAUCUGGAACUAUUCAAAUAUCAUUGCAUUUUAUUUAAAACAACACCUUACUAAAAUACGUGAGCACCAAGGCUUCACUGUCUCAUCAGUGCUUUCUGUCAAUCUUGCUAUCCACCUAACGCUUGUUAUCACACCAUCUCUGUUGUUGGCUGUAAGUGAAUUAUUGAUUUUCAAUCCAAAUAUUUGCAAAAUCUAUCAUAAUAUGUAUCUGAAAAGAUUCAAAGAUUGAAAUAAAAUUUUGGAAAUGACUGAUUGACUAAUGUUUAUAAUUUUUUUGAAUUAAUAUAUAUUGAUUUUGUAUUGCGAAUAUGAUAAUGAACGUAUUUGUUCGUUAACAGAAGGUCCAAGUGGUUCGGGGAGUCGUCCAUUCAAGUUAUCGGUGAUAAUCUCAAUUGUGAAGAAGAAACGAGAGAAGAACGAAGAAAAAGUUGAUGAUGAUACAAGCACUGGUCUCCUAUCUUUGUGCCAAAACUACGACAAACGAGAUGAUAAGUAGUGGUACUUUAUUUUGGUGAAUAUCCUUGUAUUGUCUUGUUUUAAUGUUUGUAUAGAUUGUUAAUUUGAUUUUUUUAGUUAAAUUUAACUAUUAAUCUUUUAAAAAGAGUUGAAUCAUCACUUUUAUUAGAAAUAUUAACUAAAAUACUAUUUUUUGAUGAUGUUGACGUGACAAUUAGUGUGAUAGUCAAUGUAUAUUUCAUAUUGAUACGGCACUAUUUAUUUUAUAUAUAUUAUAUUGACAAAUAAUUUAAAAAUAAUAAAAAAUCAAGAUUAUAAAAAUUAUGAAGAGCAUUAAAAAAAAAAGAGAGAGAGCUAGAAUAGAUUGCCAUGCAAAUUGUUAUGUUUAAAAAUUGUAAUGUUUUAGUCAGUAUUUCUACUAUAAACAAUAAGUUGACUCUUUUUUGAAAAAUUGGUGGUGAAAUAUACCUCUUUCUAAAAGGUUAAGGGUUAAAUUUAGCUAAAAAAAGUAAUAGUCAUAUUAAUAAAAAAUGUAAAUAUUUGUUAAAUUAAUCAUUAAGCAAAAAUAAAAGGUCAAUUUAUCUAUUAGUUGUUUGGUUACUUUUCAAAUAUUGAAAUUUCAAUCUUAAUUUAAAUAGUAACAGUUAAAUUUACUUGGUUGAGUUUUAUCAUUAAUGCGUAAAGUUGUCAAUUUAAUUCAUAUUUUUCAUUUGGAUAUUUUACUUUUCAAUUUUUUGAAAAUUUAAUCUUGGUGUAAACAAGAUCUAUUAAAUUUAUUAAUUAUUUUUUGAGUAAUAAAUGAAAAUAAUAAGUUGACAUAUCAUUUCAUGUGUAUUACAUAAAUUUUACAACUAAAAAGAUAUAGGAAAAAAAAUGGACCCAACUAUAGUAUAAAAAUAAAAUCUAUAAUUUACGGAUAAUAUAAGGACUAAUAGUACAAUUUAAACUAAUAAAAACAGUUUAAACACAUCAUGGCGGUGUAUCACAGGAUAAGACUUAUAAAAGUUCCUGCAUACGACCGCAGAGAAUCUUUAAUUCAUUAUUGGUCACUGUUUAAACAUUUCUCCAGCAUUUUCGAGAAAGAAUUCAGUCUUAAAAGUGCUAAAGAAGUUCGGAAAUUUCCUACGACUACGGAACCUUAUUCAGAGGCAACUCACUCAGCAAAUUACAGCUUCAGUCCUAUACUUCUAACUAAAUAACUUUCCCUCUAAAUCAUUUCCCCUUCAAAGCUUAGAUCCAAGCUGAUGAACACAAUUCAGUUUACUUACAGUUUUGCACUAAAAAAGUAGUUCCUGACUUAACAAAUAAAAUGCUCUUCAAUUUCUACAAUUAACCUACACAAGUCGUUCACUAUAUAUGCAUAAAAGGGGCGUUCAAGUACAAUCAAUGACAUUCACUAAUCCCACUAAAAACAUCUUCCUGUCAUCAAAUUCCUUGAAGAUCAAAUCUUCUAUUUAAGAGAACUUUGAUUGUAUUGAAACAAUCUUUACUUGGCUUGAUUCUCGCAUGUAAAGUCUGCACUGACGUACCACCGUUGAAGCUGACAAUUAUAAUCGGCACUAACAAGCUCUCUUUGAUAUAAAUACAGGGCAGCCAACUUUUUUUUUCUGAUGAUUUUGGAUUAUGACAUGGAAGCUCAAAUCUUCAACUUAGCUAGAUACAUAGAUGCGAGCUCAUUUUCCUGCUAAAAUCCAAGCACAGUAUUUAUGAUAAACUAAGUUACUAUUUUUAAUUCCAAGGCAAUCCAAUUGGUGAACUCAAUAAGUUCUAGCUCCUAGAAAUUCUACGAGGGAAAAGUACCUUUGUGAAUAGCUUUUCUAAUCAAAUCUGGUGCUGGUCCUCUUCGAUCAUGGCUAAGGCCUUCUAGCUUACUACCCCUUCAGAUGAAGCAAAAUCAUAUAUCUUUACAUGAACAAAAAAAAUUUUACCCUUGGAUUUGAAUUUUAGUUGUUUUAUCACUGACCUAUGUGAAGCAUGUCAGGAUAAAGGCAUGGGUUAAGAAAGAGAAUGGUGGUAAAGUGGCAAGAUGCUGCAACGAACAAGCAUACAAUAUGUUGUCAAGGACAGGUGAUUUGGUAGCCAAGGUUAGUUCCAUAAAGGGGUGGCAAUUGUAAGUGCUUCCGUCAGGAGCAAAACAAGAAUGGCUUUCAGGAACAGAACUAAAUUCUGGUCGGAUAUCACGAGAAACCUUAUUCACAAUUCUUGAUGCUUCAGACAAGUAGGAAAAACACUUGGGUGAUGUUGCAUGACUGAAGACAACAAGGCAAAAGAAGUGGUCAAAAUGCAUAAACAACGAUAAUUACCUAGUGAGUUGAUAUUUGAAAAUUUUUCGUAAUCAGUCUUCCUGUUUAGUUGACUUACUAUAAUAGUUGAUGCCUUCUGGAAAAAUGCAGCUUUUGCCUAGCUGAUUUGUCAGAAACAUUUUAUGUACAGCAAAACGAAAUCUGUACAAGUAGUCACAGCUGACUUGGACCUUUUCUGCGACUGCAAUCAAACACAGCUCAAUAGCAUCAAGUAGUCACACCAUUCAUGUAUGGUGUAUGAGCUUUUCCAAUACCCCAUGUAUGGUGCUGGGCCCCUCUGGUCUUGGCUGAGGCCUUUUAGCUCACUAGCUCAUCUAAUAAAGCAAAAUCAUAAAUCUUUACGUAGAGAAAAAAAGUUUAAUCCUCAGAUUAAAAUUUAAGUUGGUCAUCACUCAUCACUGACCUAUCUGAAGCAUGCCUGGAUCUCUCGUAUCGAAGAUUCUUGCAAGAGACUUCCUCUAUGAUCUUAAGUAACACCACUUCUCUGCAGGGAGACACUUUGCCUGCCAAUAUGCAAAAGGCUAGGCUAAGAAAGAGAAUGGUGGUAAAGCAGCAAGAUAUGAUGAACAAGCAUAUGAUAUGUUUGUCAAGGACAACUGACUUGGAGAAACAUGUAACAAGCUUAGUACCAUAACGGGUGGCUAUCCUAAGUGCUUCCAUCAGAAGCUAAACAAUAAUGAGACUCAGAAACAAAGCUAAAUUCCAGUCGGAUGUCAUGAGAACCCUUAUUCAUAAUCCUUGAUGCUUCAGACAAGUAGGAGAUAUAUUUAGCAAAUGUUGCAUGACCAAAGACAAUACAAACAAGUUAAAAUAAGUGAUCAAAAUGCAUAAACAAUGAUAAUUACCUAGUGAGUUGAGUUUUGAAAACAUUUCUUAAGCAGUAUUCUUGUUUUGUUGACCUACUAUAAUAGUUGACGCCUUCUGGAAAACAGAAAAAGAACGGAGGUAAAGCAGCAAGAUAGGCUGGCUGCAAUGAACAAGUACGUGAUAUGUUGUAAAGAACUGCUGAUUUGGGUAAAAAUGGAACAAGGAUGGUAGUACCAUAACUUCCAUUGGAAGCAAACUAAGAAUGGGCUUCAAGAAGACAAGAACGUUAAUGAAUACCUCACAGAUGUGAUAGAGCUUUAUAUGUAGUAAUCCUUAAUGCUUCAGAUAAGUUGCCAAACCAAAGACUUCAUAAGCAAGGUAAAACAAGUGGUCAAAACACAAAGAAUGUUCAAUUAUAUUGUUUGUUAAAAUUUGAAAUAAAUUUUUAAGUAGUCUUCAUCCAAGAAAAACUAAAAGUUAAUAAAUUGAAGCAGUGUCAUCAAUUACAUGGAAAAGAAAUUGUGACCAGGACUUACUUUUCGAUGGAUAAAUUUAGUUUCUACGUUCUCUCUAUGACUGAUGAGUCUUUGAGCUGUACAAGCUAAUUAGUGAAUCCUGCAAAAUAAAGCCAAAAAAUCUGACAUAUGGAUUAAUCAACCAAAUUUGUGAACAAAUAACCUUUCAUUUUUUAAAAAGAAUAAAUAAAAAAUCCUACCAAGUUGAAGGGAAAUAUCUUGUCUAAAUGGAGAAAUCGACCAAAAACUUGAAAGAAUUGCCAAAAUGACUAUAUAUACAAAGGGACUUCUCAUAUCCAUGAAAUGUUUAUCCAAGCAAAAUUAAAAGUUUGUCUACUAAAAUGCAAAGAUAAUCACAGGAAGAAUGAACUGAUGUAAAUUGCAUUGAAAAGAAAUGGGGAUAAAAAAAGAACUUACUUUUCUAUCUAUAUAUUUACUUCUGAGACAAUAAGUCUAUGAAUCAUUCAUAUCCAUCCAAAUCCUGUAAUGGUCUGGCGAAAAAGCCCCAAAAAAAUGGAAGUUUAGUUUGAAACUAGACAAAAGAGUUUAGGAGGAAAAGAACAAGGAGAAUAAUUAUAAGAAGAAUUUAGAGAAAAUGACAUUCUUUUAUCAAAAGCAAAAAGCACAGGUGUUUUGGUUUCAGAUAUUGAACUUACCGCUUGCACAUAAUUGAGAUUCUACAAAUGUGGGAAAUCUUGGACCACUCAGGACCGCUUUCCUUGGAACAUCUUGCCUCUAAUCGAGGACACUCUGAAAUUAUAAAUGUUGUUAAUUUGGAGAGGCUUCGCAUAACACGUUCAGAAGGCAGAUACAUGAGCUUAUCACAUGAAACGAUUCUCAGACACUUUAAAUAGGAGAGGUUUCCCAACCAAUCAGGCAAGGCUUCUAUGCCGUGAAACCUCUGUAUCUCCAGUUCUUCAAGGGCAGUGAGGCGUAGGAGUUGGUAAGGAAGAGAACGUAGCUUUUCCCAUCCAAGCAAACGCAAUUCUUGAAGUCUGAGAUGUUGGAUGGAAUCCAUACCUGGGAAUUCUUCUAGCUCUUCUGAGAAACCACCAAUAUCUAACCUUCUCAAGAAAUCAAGGCGGCCAAGGAGGUCAAUUGGAAUGCUCCUCAAUGUUGGACACCUUUUGAUUGUUAAAUGACGAAGAAAAUCCAUGUCCCCCAGACUUUCUGGAAUCGAUCUUAGAUCAGGCAAAUCAGAUAGUGUCAGACUCUGAAGAUAACGGUUGGGUUGCAGCAAAUCUGGUAACAGACGAGUUAAGCCUUCGCCUACUCCAGUGAAGUCUAAUUCCGUGAGAUAAGCAUUAUGUAUUCUUGGAAUGGGCCCCAAAUUCGGGCAGUUCACUAUCCUCAAUUUUCUGAGACGAGUGAAGGUAAGCAGUGCAUCUCCCAUUUGGCUUAAUUUUUUACAUGCAAUAAUUUCAAGCACUUGGAGAGUUGAGUUCCUUCCUGUUAUUCGAACAAUUUCCAGAUUGUUGCAGUCUGAUAUAUUUAAAAUAUGAAGAGAGGAAAAUCCUAUUAAAUCUGGAAUGGAAUUUAAGUUACCACAAUGGGAUAGCUUUAACUUUUUGAGGUAAGUGGCGGUAGACAGCCCGUUUCCUAUCUUGCUUAAUUUAGGACACCAAGAAAUGAGAAACUUUUCAAGAGAUAAACAUCUUCCUCUUAUAGGAAUAGUUUUCAGUUCGUGGCAGUUUGAUAUAUCUAAAAUUCGGAGAGAGGAAAUUCCUUCUAAAUCUGGAAUGAAAUUUAAAUUAGCACAACCAAUUGGCUUUACUUUUUCAAGACUAGUGGAGGUAGACAACCGGUCUCCUAUCUUGCUUAAUUUUGGACAUGAGAAAUUGUAAAGCUUUUCAAGAGAUGAACAUCUUCCUCUUACCGGAAUAGUUUCCAGUUCGUGGCAGUCUGAUAUAUUUAAAAUUCGGAGAGAGGAAAAUCCUAUCAAAUCUGGAAUGGAAUUUAAAUUAGCACAAUCAUUUAGCUUUAAUUCUUCAAGACUAGUGGAGGUAGACAACCCAUCUCCUAUCUUGCUUAAUUUUGGACACGAGGAAACGUGAAGCUUUUCAAGAGAUGAACAUCUUCCUCUAAUUGGAACAAUUUCCAAUUCGUGGCAGCCUGAUAUAUCUAAAAUUCGGAGAGAGGAAAUUUCUUCCAAAUCUGGAAUGGAACUUAAAUUAGCACAACCACUUAACUUUAAUUCUUCAAGAAUAGUGGAGGUAGACAUCCUGUCUCCUAUCUUGCUUAAUUUUGGACACGAGGAAACGUGAAGCUUUUCAAGAGAUGAACAUCUUCCUCUUAUCAGAACAGUUUCCAAUUCGUGGCAGUCUGAUAUAUCUAAAAUUUGGAGAGAGGAAAAUCCUUCCAAAUCUGGAAUGGAACUUAAAUUAGAACAACCGCUUAGCUUUAAUUCUUCAAGAAUAGUGGAGGUAGACAACCCGUCUCCUAUCUUGCUUAAUUUUGGACACGAGGAAACGUGAAGCUUUUCAAGAGAUGAACAUCUUCCUUCUAUCGGAACAGUUUCCAGCUCGUGGCAGUCUAAUAUAUCUAAAAUUCGGAGAGAGGAAAAUCCUUCCAAAUCUGGAAUGGAACUGAAAUUAGAACAACCACUUAGCUUUAAUUCUUCAAGACUAGUGGAGGUAGACAACCCAUCUCCAAUCUUGC
RNAcentral lists this long non-coding RNA (29339 nucleotides) under Gossypium barbadense (sea-island cotton). RNAcentral describes it as "long non-coding RNA (GBAR_LNC013845)". The record is from RNAcentral. Lineage: Eukaryota; Viridiplantae; Streptophyta; Magnoliopsida; Malvales; Malvaceae.